UAAGUGUUUGGCAAUUAUGGUUUUUAAAAAAGAAUCAGUCCCGGUCAUAUUUGAACCACCUUGUAUUUAACCAUGGCAAAACAGCAGUUAAUUCGCUGAUCAGCUGUAGGUCUAGAUGCUGCCAACUUUAAGCCUCUUGCAAUUCCUAUCAAUGACUUCCCUUGUCCAAUAACAUAUACAUUUGGAUUUACAUGGUUUAGGAUUACUUCUGCCUGUGUCCUGCACAAUUUACUUAUGUAGCCAUAUACAUAAUUUGAAAACAAUGUGCAAUUUGCAGAUUCCCUAAAUACCACAUGAAAAUUUUGUUAGAUUUCAAUGCCAAAGUAGGUAGGGAAGACAUUUUCAAACUCCAAACACGUUACAUUGCUCCCUUCUAAAGGUUGUUCAUCCCAAACAGCAUAAAGGUUCUUUCUUUGUUUCGGGUGUUCACCUUCCUAAUGGUAUCUCCACCCUACUUUCAUUUUGAUGUACGAUUCUUCCAUCUGUACAAUGUCCCCACAUCAUAACAUUCAUAAAUUUACUUGGACAUCUCCUGAUGGAAAGACACACAACCAAACUGACCAUAUGUUGAUAGAUAGGAGAGAGCAUUCAAGUAUACUUGAUAUCCAAUCUUUCAGGGCAGCAGAUUGUGAUACUGACCACUAUAUGGUGAUGGCAAAAGUUUGGGGAGAGACUGGCGCUGAACAAACAAACAAUGCACAGGGUUCAUAUGAAGAGACACGUUGAGUGGUAGUGUGCGAAUCUGAGAGCUCCUUAAUUUAAGUACAAAAGAGCAGUUUCAUUUGGUCAGUAGUAAAAAAUAAGUGGUUAUCUUCUUUAACAAGUGUGCUAUAGUGAACCUUAUAUUUAAAUUUUUUUCUAUACUGAACGUUUUCUUCCUUUUUUUUACUCUUAAGCCACGCUUAGCUCCUAGGCCAUUUUCCGCCAUAUUGUGAGCUAUUAGUAUCUGAUCUUCCGCUCAACGCUCCUAAAACUGCAUUUUUUUAACUUCAACUUUCUGUUAAUAUAGAUUAGUAGUAGAAUUAGUAAACAUACUUGUUAUUUUAUAUCUUAAAUACGGUGAUUUGUAUUUUCAUAAGUGUACUGGUAGGCCUAACCUACAAGUAGUGUGUUACUUUGUCUUAAGGAAGCUGAUUUGCAUUUUCGUAAGUAUACAGUAGGCCUAACAUACAAGGAGUGUGUUAUUUUAUAUCUUAAGGAAGUCGAUUUGUAUUUUCACAAGUGUUAUUUAUAUCUUACAUAAAUUGUUUGUAUUUUCGUAAGUGUACAGUAGGCCUAACCUACAAGAAGUGUGUUAUUUUAUAUCUUUAGUAAGUUGAUUUGUACUAUUGCAAGUGUACCAGUGGGCCUAACCUAAAAUAAGUGUAUCAUUGUAUAUAGUGGGCCUUAAAAGAUUUGUGCCAGCAUAUACUCUUGUAAAUGUGGGGCCUGCAGAAGGAAGGUUAGCCAGGGGACAGGAUGUGAGGACUGUGGCCUGUGGUUUCAUUGGGAGUGCUCUGGCACCAAUAGUGAUUUGGCCAUAUUACCUUGGUACUGCAACUCCUGUGUGCAAGCCAAGGUAAUAAAGAAACAAGAGGAGACUAUCUUGAGUUUGAAAAGGGAGCUGGAACUUGCAAGAACUGAGAUUGACCUCUUAAAAGGGGAAUUAAAUUUAGUAGAUAAUUGUCCUGAAGAAUUUAGGACUGUGUCCAACUCCCGAAGAAAACUUAAAAAAGUUCCUUCUUCACUAGAUGUUAAGUUAGCUUUAACCAAUCGAUUUGAACCUCUAGCUAUGCUAGGGCCUCAGACUGAUGGUGACGCUAUAGAUCAGCCUGUGUUAGAGGCUAAGCCUAAGCGUAAGAUUCUAGUGCUGGGUAGCAGUCAUGGUAGGGGUAUCGGGCAGAGGCUACAGAAAGCAAUGGGAGAUGCAUAUGCUGUGACCAGCAUAUUCAAGCCCAAUGCUGAUCUGAGCAAUGUCACUGGGGACAUUGGAAAAUUGUGCAAAGGUUUU
Long non-coding RNA from Cryptotermes secundus, 1990 nucleotides. RefSeq lists it as uncharacterized. The transcript is spliced from 2 exons. NCBI's taxonomy places the organism in Eukaryota, Metazoa, Arthropoda, Insecta, Blattodea, Kalotermitidae. The record is from RefSeq and is a predicted model, not a curated record.